GUCAAAAACCAAAUAUAUCCUGAGGCUGACUUUGCUGACUCAAUGGAGCCAUCUGAAAUAGCCUCAGAGGAUUGUGAGUUGUCUCACUCUGUUUAUGAGAAUUUUAUGUUGCUGAUUGAACAACUUAGAAUGGAGUGUAAAGGCAAGAAGAUAAAUCAGUACUUGCUGUCCAUCGUGACCAGAAGCAGAUUCCAGCAGAGCUUCAGCACCUGCUGUCGACUGAUUCUGUUAGCCUACCAAGAAUCCAAGACACAUUUUGUUUGUGUGAACGCUUACUGAAACUUAAGAAUAAUCACUGUGACCAACUUACAGUAAAAAUUAAACAAAUGGAAAAUGUGGUCAGUGUACUACAAAAUGAGCUAUCUGAAACAAAAAAGACAAAAUUACAGUUAGAACUUCAAAAAAUUGAAUGGGAGAAAGAGCUGUACAAUUUGAGGUAUGACGUUCUAGUUCUAAAGAAAUAUUUAUACUAAAGACAAUAUAUCAGAAUUUUUGUAAUUGCUGACUUACCUUCUGCAGAUUAAUGGGGAGAAACCUUUUUGGUCUUGUGGAAUAUGAAAUUCUUGGAAAUAAUAAAACAAAUUAUUAAC
RNAcentral lists this small RNA (590 nucleotides) under Pongo abelii (Sumatran orangutan). RNAcentral describes it as "retained intron". The record is from RNAcentral. Lineage: Eukaryota; Metazoa; Chordata; Mammalia; Primates; Hominidae.